UACACCAUAACUCACAACACCAAGCUUUACUCUUUUAUUUUCUCUCAAAACUUUCUUCACGAAAAUUGUCGGGAAUAUUGCGUAGAUCGUGUAUGUGUAUUUGCAUGUUGAAUCAAGAUCCAGCGAGUUUUGUCGCGAAAACCGGCGAGCAAAGGUUUUGAAUAUUCGACGGGUGAUAUUUUUAAAUUUGGAAUAAGCGAGUACUGCGAGUAGUUUGAGGUGUGGAUUUCCAAUUUCUUGUUCCGGGAAUCCCUAGCUUGAAUAAAGUGAGAAUGACUUUUCUUUGUGUGUCUAGAGUUGCAGUAGCUAGAAUAAUGAACGGUGAUACCUUAGUAGUCGUUGGACUUAUUUAUGCUUUAUAUUUUAUUAUAAUGCUUAAACUCUGAUAAUAUGUAAUAUGUGAAUGAUGUGCGAAAGUCCGAGCGACUGCACGAGUAUAAAAUGCGGCGAGCGCAUCUGCAUAAUGAAAUGCAGUUAAAUCCAUAAUGAAAUGGUCUGCAUAAUGAAAUGCGGUUAAGUCCAUAGAGAAAUGGCCUGCAUAGUGAAAUGCAGUAAUUACCUUAGUAAGAUGGUAUGCAUAAUGAGAUGCAUGAUAAACCAUAAUGAAAUGGUUUUGAAAACUAAAAUGCAAUAAUUAAAGAGAAAAUUAUGUGCAUGUUUUAAAUGGUAAUUGAUAAUAGAACGUUUUAAACUGCGAUUUUAAAAUGUUCGAAAAUAAUUUGAAUUCCGCGAAAAAUUUUAAGUGAUUUUUAAUGUAUUUUUAAGGCUUGCUACGGGUUUCGGAGCAACCACUCCCAUUCCCUAGCGCCGGUCUCGAUGCCGAGAAUCAGGUCGU
This is a long non-coding RNA of Mercurialis annua (annual mercury), 835 nucleotides long. RefSeq lists it as uncharacterized. The record is from RefSeq and is a predicted model, not a curated record. NCBI's taxonomy places the organism in Eukaryota, Viridiplantae, Streptophyta, Magnoliopsida, Malpighiales, Euphorbiaceae. The transcript is spliced from 3 exons.